AGUUUUCAACAUUUUUGAAAACUUAAAGUUUUUGAAUUCAAAUUUUAAACUUGAAACCAGUAGCCUUUUGCAUUUAUUUAAAAUGCCAAAUGUGUUAAUAAAAUGGUUUUCUUCAUUGCUUAUUUGCUUUCAAGAAAUAUCACAAAAGUUGAACUUUUCUUGAGGCCAUUUUGGGUUCAUUGAUUUGAACAAGUUUAUAAUUUCUUUGAAUUUGAGAAGUGGCUAGGGUUUUUGAGUUUUUCUUCACCACUAGCUUUGUUCUUGUUGAAAUUUUCUUGGAUGCAAUGCAAAGAAGAUAUGAGCACAAUGCUAACUUGAUUAGGGUUUCAGGGAUGUGACGACUCACCCCCACUCAAAAGAAUCUCGUCCCGAGAUUUAGAAGUCGUCGGAAAUAACGCGGGAUACUCAAGUCGGAGACGAUCCUCUCUUUCCCAUGUUGCCUCCUUUUCAGAAUGAUUUGACCAUCGAACUUUAAGAAACUUGAGGUUUCGACAUCGAGUGGUACGCUCAGCUUUAUCAAGAAUACGCACAGGGUAUUCUCGGUAUGAAAGGUUAUCUUGGAGAU
This 565-nucleotide long non-coding RNA is filed under the name Hordeum vulgare. Its description in RNAcentral is "long non-coding RNA (HVUL_LNC009341)". Lineage: Eukaryota; Viridiplantae; Streptophyta; Magnoliopsida; Poales; Poaceae. The record is from RNAcentral.